Molecule: ribosomal RNA, 382 nt
Filed under: uncultured bacterium
Lineage: Bacteria
Description: bacterial SSU rRNA
Rfam family: Bacterial small subunit ribosomal RNA
Source: RNAcentral
AUUGAACGCUGGCGGCAUGCUUUACACAUGCAAGUCGAACGGUAACAGGGAGCUUGCUCCGCUGACGAGUGGCGAACGGGUUGAGUAAUGCAUCGGAACAUGCCCAGUCAUGGGGGGAUAACUACGCCGAAAGCGUAGCUAAUACCGCAUACGCCCUGAGGGGGGAAAGUGGGGGGAUCUUAGGACCUCACGUGAUUGGAGUGGCCGAUGUCAGAUUAGCUAGUUGGUGAGGUAAAGGCUCACCAAGGCGACGAUCUGUAGCGGGUCUGAGAGGAUGAUCCGCCACACUGGGACUGAGACACGGCCCAGACUCCUACGGGAGGCAGCAGUGGGGAAUUUUGGACAAUGGGCGCAAGCCUGAUCCAGCCAUGCCGCGUGAGUG